GCCCUUUUUGGAAUGGAGACAGCAGAGAGCAGCUCGUCUGAGUUCAAGAGGGAAAGAUAUGGUGGCCAAGCAUGAGGUGCUCCACAAAGGCCGUGGGGGAUUUGAAGCACGAGUUGCUGGUCCUGUGAUCCUCCUGGGACAGUAAAGCCACACAGGGCAGCAAGAGCAGCCUUUCUGUUGCCGGAGAUAUUCUGUGGGUAUUGAUUCGGCUCCCUCUGACUUACUUACAAUGAGCUCCCAACACAAUCGAAGUGAUGUAUAAAACCGUGAGGCUGGAGCUUCGGCCAAGCAGAGGCAGUAUGCAAUACAUAAAAGCUGGAAGCCCCCCUUCCCCCCCCCCCCCCCCGCCGCGCUUCUGUGACACUUCCAGCUGGAAGAUGAAUCGGAGCCACACAUUCCAGCUCUGCUUGGGUAGCACGGAAAUAUGCAAGCUGCAAUCAUCUAGGUAUGCUCACUACAGCUAAAGUGGUGCUGUGGUGCCAGUGCCACGUGCCGCGAAGGCUGCCAGCGAGCAUUUUUUCCAAGGACCGAUUAUUGGGAAAUUCAGCCUUUCCUCCUCUCGCUCCCCAACCAUUCAUGGAAAGGUUGCCAUGUGCCAGGAAGCCCGACUAUUUCAGUCAGUCAUGAAGCCAUCUAAGCACAGGUGUUGGAAGAGGUCAGCCUUUGAGCCGUGAUUUAAUACUUAAAGGUUUGUGGAUAGUACCUUUUACAUUAGUUGCCUAAGUGUUAGAAGGGUCCCUAGUGUGGGGUGAACACGUCCUCAUAGUUAAAUCGGGAGGCUUUCUCUUAAAAGUGCUCAGUGUGGACCAAAAGUUACAUAAGCGCUUUGCCUUAAAGGCUAUCCAGUUGGUCUUUCACUUUAGUUCAGGCUUAAAGAACAAAAAUAGCUUUCUGGUUUUGUCUCCUUCUGGACGAGUGGCCAUCUGUUUACCGUUUAAUAUCACCAGCUCAUGACUUUUCAAGGAACUGCGCAGGAUUUCAUGGUUGUGCAUCAGGGACUUCCUUCCCCUAGUUCACUCUUCCACUGUGGUCCCUUCCACCGGGAUAACACAAAAGCACUUCCCUGUCUCUUUUGGUUUAUCUGUGACCUGCCCCCAAAAACACAUAUAUGUUAUUUUAACUCGGCAGUUCAUAACCUGUGGGUCACGACCCUUGAUGUGUCAGAUAUCUUGUAUAUCAGAUAUUUUCAUUAUAAUUAAAAAACUGUAGCAACAUUA
This 1217-nucleotide long non-coding RNA is filed under the name Mus musculus (house mouse). RNAcentral describes it as "long non-coding RNA, embryonic stem cells expressed 1". Lineage: Eukaryota; Metazoa; Chordata; Mammalia; Rodentia; Muridae. The record is from RNAcentral.